GAUGAACGCUGGCGGCGUGCCUAACACAUGCAAGUCGAGCGAAAACACGGGGAGAGUUUGCUCUUGAGGGUGGCGGGGGACGGGCGAGUGACACGUGGAUAGGCUACCUCUUUGACGGGGGGAAUAACGGGAGAACAGUUCUACUACCGGCGAAUAUAUCGUACGGGAUAGAGCAAGAGUUCUUGACGCUUUUCGUGAUUGUAAGAGCCGAUGCCGGGUCGGAUUAGCUAGUUGGUAAGGUAACGGCUUACCAAGGCGACGAUGCGUAGCUGACCUGAGAUGGUGAUCAGCCACACUGGAACUGAGACACGGUCCAGACUCCUACGGGAGGCAGCAGUGGGGAAUCUUGCGCAAUGGGCGAAAGCCUGAUGGAGCAACACCGCGUGAGUGAUGAAGGUCUUCGGAUCGUAAAGCUCUGUUGUUAGGAAAGAACAAAAGUGUAUGUAACCAUGCACGUCUUGACGGUACCUAAAGAAUAAGCCCCGGCUAACUACGUG
Molecule: ribosomal RNA, 497 nt
Filed under: uncultured bacterium
Lineage: Bacteria
Description: partial 16S ribosomal RNA
Rfam family: Bacterial small subunit ribosomal RNA
Source: RNAcentral